ACGAAGCUUCGUUAUAUGAGAACCCGAAAUUAGUAUUACAAAUACAGAAUAAGGAUUUUAUUCAUCACAUUCAUCUAGCACCUACACAUUUCCACAUCCAUCUUACUCUUAAAUAAAUUGAUGGUGUUGGAAACACUCAUCAUAUGCCAACCAUCCCACUAAACACUCAUCAUAUGCCAACCAUCCCACUAAACACUCAUCAUUCCACUAAACACUCAUUAUUCCACACACUCAUCAUUCCACUAAACACUCUUUACACCUUCUUUUGCCAGCCAUCUUCUACACCUUUAACAUCUCAACAUGCAAUUAGCUUUUAUUUAAUCAAAAUCAGCAGCCAACAUUCCUCCCAUUCCUCCUAACAUUCUGAUCCAAGCUAUACGUUCUUAUGCUUGAAUUAUAAUUCACUGAUUCUAGCUUUCCAAAUCAGUUUCCAAGAUUUCCCAAAACAAGAAAGAGAUCCAAUUUUGGUGAAUUCAGAAAGAAGAUUUUCCUCAUUUCCUACUCAUAUCAAGGUCCGGGCGACAGAAAGUGAAGCAGAAGAAGAAACGAUUCCACGCCAGCUUUAAGAACAAUUGAGGUUGAGCAGGCGAUGGAAUGGAUUGGUGUUGAGCGGAUUUCCCUUUUGAUGUUUAUGUAAUGAAACCUUGAGUAUGCAUCUCCAUAUGCAUAACUCACACGUUUUUCCGCUGCAAACACUCUGAAUUUGUUAUCGUAUUGUGGAACUUAUUACUCCUUCAUUUUGUUUAACUUUCAUUUGGGGUUUAGUCGUUAUGGCUGGCUCAUUUGUUAAUUACCCAAGUGGUUAUAUAUAUAUAUACCACUAGUUUGUUG
Long non-coding RNA from Salvia miltiorrhiza (redroot sage), 831 nucleotides. RefSeq lists it as uncharacterized. The transcript is spliced from 4 exons. The record is from RefSeq and is a predicted model, not a curated record. Lineage: Eukaryota; Viridiplantae; Streptophyta; Magnoliopsida; Lamiales; Lamiaceae.